This 387-nucleotide ribosomal RNA is filed under the name uncultured bacterium. RNAcentral's name for it is "bacterial SSU rRNA". It matches the Rfam family "Archaeal small subunit ribosomal RNA", at positions 339 to 727 of the family's 1478-position model. The record is from RNAcentral.
GCGCGAAAACUUCGCACUGUGCGAAAGCACGACGAGGGAAUCCCAAGUGCUGGCUCGUAAGAGUCAGCUGUUUCUCUGUCUAAAAAAUAGAGAGAGUAAGGGCUGGGUAAGACGGGUGCCAGCCGCCGCGGUAAUACCUGCAGCUCAAGUGGUGACCGCUAUUAUUGGGCCUAAAACGUCCGUAGCCGGUUCUAUAAAUGCCUGGGUAAAUCGUACGGCUUAACCGUACGAAUUCCGGGUAGACUGUUCAACUUGGGACCGGGAGAGGCUAGAGGUACUCCUGGGGUAGAGGUGAAAUUCUGUAAUCCUAGGGGGACCACCAGUGGCGAAGGCGUCUAGCUAGAACGGGUCUGACGGUGAGGGACGAAGCCCUGGGGAGCAAACGGG